AAAGGAAUAGACGGGGGCCCGCACAAGCGGUGGAGCAUGUGGUUUAAUUCGACGCAACGCGAAGAACCUUACCAAGGCUUGACAUCCUCAGAAUCCUGUGGAAACACGGGAGUGCCCUUUUUGGGAGCUGAGAGACAGGUGGUGCAUGGUUGUCGUCAGCUCGUGUCGUGAGAUGUUGGGUUAAGUCCCGCAACGAGCGCAACCCCUAUAUUCAGUUGCCAGCACUUAGGGUGGGAACUCUGGAUAGACUGCCGGUGACAAACCGGAGGAAGGUGGGGAUGACGUCAAAUCAUCAUGCCCCUUAUGUCUUGGGCUACACACGUGCUACAAUGGACGGUACAGACGGCAGCGAAGCCGCAAGGUGAAGCAAAUCCGAGAAAGCCGUUCUCAGUUCGGAUUGCAGGCUGCAACUCGCCUGCAUGAAGUAGGAAUCGCUAGUAAUCGCAGGUCAGCACACUGCGGUGAAUACGUUCCCGGGCCUUGUACACACCGCCCGU
This 497-nucleotide ribosomal RNA is filed under the name uncultured bacterium. RNAcentral's name for it is "bacterial SSU rRNA". It matches the Rfam family "Bacterial small subunit ribosomal RNA", at positions 903 to 1397 of the family's 1533-position model. The record is from RNAcentral.